GGACCAUCCUCCAAGGCUAAAUACUCCUGACUGACCGAUAGUGAACCAGUACCGUGAGGGAAAGGCGAAAAGAACCCCGGCGAGGGGAGUGAAAAAGAACCUGAAACCGUGUACGUACAAGCAGUGGGAGCACGCUUAGGCGUGUGACUGCGUACCUUUUGUAUAAUGGGUCAGCGACUUAUAUUCUGUAGCAAGGUUAACCGAAUAGGGGAGCCGAAGGGAAACCGAGUCUUAACUGGGCGUUAAGUUGCAGGGUAUAGACCCGAAACCCGGUGAUCUAGCCAUGGGCAGGUUGAAGGUUGGGUAACACUAACUGGAGGACCGAACCGACUAAUGUUGAAAAAUUAGCGGAUGACUUGUGGCUGGGGGUGAAAGGCCAAUCAAACCGGGAGAUAGCUGGUUCUCCCCGAAAGCU
Molecule: ribosomal RNA, 415 nt
Filed under: Escherichia coli
Lineage: Bacteria; Pseudomonadati; Pseudomonadota; Gammaproteobacteria; Enterobacterales; Enterobacteriaceae
Description: partial 23S ribosomal RNA
Rfam family: Bacterial large subunit ribosomal RNA
Source: RNAcentral